AUUGAACGCUGGCGGCAUGCCUUACACAUGCAAGUCGAACGGCAGCACGGGUGCUUGCACCUGGUGGCGAGUGGCGAACGGGUGAGUAAUAUAUCGGAACGUACCUUAUCGUGGGGGAUAACGCAGCGAAAGCUGCGCUAAUACCGCAUACGCCCUGAGGGGGAAAGCGGGGGACCGUAAGGCCUCGCGCGAUUGGAGCGGCCGAUAUCAGAUUAGCUAGUUGGUGAGGUAAAGGCUCACCAAGGCGACGAUCUGUAGCUGGUCUGAGAGGACGACCAGCCACACUGGAACUGAGACACGGUCCAGACUCCUACGGGAGGCAGCAGUGGGGAAUUUUGGACAAUGGGCGCAAGCCUGAUCCAGCAAUGCCGCGUGCAGGAUGAAGGCCUUCGGGUUGUAAACUGCUUUUGUACGGAGCGAAAAGGCUUCUCCUAAUACGAGGGGCUCAUGACGGUACCGUAAGAAUAAGCACCGGCUAACUACGUG
RNAcentral lists this ribosomal RNA (486 nucleotides) under uncultured bacterium. RNAcentral's name for it is "bacterial SSU rRNA". It matches the Rfam family "Bacterial small subunit ribosomal RNA", at positions 30 to 507 of the family's 1533-position model. The record is from RNAcentral.